RNAcentral lists this unclassified non-coding RNA (335 nucleotides) under Hevea brasiliensis (rubber tree). The record is from RNAcentral. Lineage: Eukaryota; Viridiplantae; Streptophyta; Magnoliopsida; Malpighiales; Euphorbiaceae.
UCUUAAUGAUCUUACCAGAGCCUUGUAAGGACCUUCGCCCUGAUUCCUCACCCCCUGCAAACCAAAAAGGAAAAAAAAAAAAACAGGAUACAGGAAAAAAUCUUAAAUAAUAAGCAAAAAACAGUAAUUCACCAACGUAACAUCAAACUACAUAGCUUCCAUAUUUUCUAAUUCAUAUUUAACGUUUCAACAAGCUACAAAAUCAAUUUUCCUCUAUUUACUAACUGAAUAUUCUCAAAUAUCAACCUGUCACCAAAACAAAAUCAACCAGUUCAUUCAAAAUUUCAAAUCAAACAUCAGAUCUACAACAAACAGAUUCUACAUACACCUAUAAG